GAUGAACGCUGGCGGCGUGCCUAACACAUGCAAGUCGAACGGAGUCCAGCCUUUAAGACCUUCGGGUCAAAGAGGGGAAGACUGAGUGGCGGACGGGUGAGUAACACGUGGGCAACCUGGCUCAUAGAGGGGGAUAACAGAGAGAAAUUUCUGCUAAUACCGCAUAAGCACACCCUGCCGCAUGGCAGAGGGUGAAAAGAGAAUCGCUAUGAGCUGGACCCGCGUCUGAUUAGCCAGUUGGCAGGGUAAGAGCCUACCAAAGCGACGAUCAGUAGCCGAUCUGAGAGGAUGAACGGCCACAUUGGGACUGAGACACGGCCCAAACUCCUACGGGAGGCAGCAGUGGGGGAUAUUGCACAAUGGGGGGAACCCUGAUGCAGCGACGCCGCGUGAGUGAAGAAGUAUUUCGGUAUGUAAAGCUCUAUCAGCAGGGAAGAUAAUGACAGUACCUGAAUAAGAAGCCCCGGCUAACUACGUG
This 478-nucleotide ribosomal RNA is filed under the name uncultured bacterium. RNAcentral's name for it is "partial 16S ribosomal RNA". It matches the Rfam family "Bacterial small subunit ribosomal RNA", at positions 28 to 507 of the family's 1533-position model. The record is from RNAcentral.